This 254-nucleotide ribosomal RNA is filed under the name uncultured Eubacteriales bacterium. Its description in RNAcentral is "uncultured Clostridiales bacterium partial 16S ribosomal RNA". It matches the Rfam family "Bacterial small subunit ribosomal RNA", at positions 524 to 776 of the family's 1533-position model. The record is from RNAcentral. Lineage: Bacteria; Bacillati; Bacillota; Clostridia; Eubacteriales.
UACGUAGGGAGCAAGCGUUGUUCGGAAUGACUGGGCGUAAAGGGUGCGUAGGCGGUUGUACAAGUUAGAAGUGAAAUACCCAGGGCUUAACUCGGGUGCUGCUUCUAAAACUGUAUGACUUGAGUGCAGUAGAGGUUAGUGGAAUUCCUAGUGUAGCGGUGGAAUGCAUAGAUAUCACGCAGAACCCCGAUUGCGAAGGCAGCAUACCGGUGCACAACUGACGCUCAGGCACGAAAGCGUGGGUAUCGAACAGG